CCCCCCUUACAUCAUGUCUCAAAUCAGGCAGGAAACCCGCUGAACUNAGCAUAUCANNANCGGAGGAAAAGAACUAACAAGGAUUCCCCUAGUAACGGCGAGUGAAGCGGGAAAAGCUCAAAUUUGAAAUCUCACGGGUUCCCCGUGCGAGUUGUAAUUUCGAGAAGCAGUAUCGGAACCCACCUGGGUCCAAGUCCUCUGGAACGAGGCAUCAAUGAGGGUGACAAUCCCGUACUUGACUCAGGGGAUAAAGGGAACCAUGUGAUCUGCUUUCAAAGAGUCGGGUUGUUUGGGAAUGCAGCCCAAAUCAGGUGGUAAAUACCAUCUAAAGCUAAAUAAUGGCGAGAGACCGAUAGCGAACAAGUACCGUGAGGGAAAGAUGAAAAGAACUUUGAAAAGAGAGUUAAACAGUACGUGAAAUUGUCAAAAGGGAAACGCUUGACACCAGCAUUGCGAUGCGGGAAACUCUGUCUUGGCUUUGGCCAGGGCAGUACUUGCCCGUAGGCAAGUCAACAUCAGUUCUUGGCCAGUGAAAAACGGGAAAGCUGUAGUCUUCGGGCUGACUUUCCACGAGAUGGCUGGGCAGGGACUGAGGAUCGCAGCGUGGCCCUGGGGUGCCCUGAUGCCAUGCCGAAGGACUGGCAGCAACAGCGUGCUGAUGUUGUUGGUUCGAGGUAUGCUCGUUGGGACGCAUCACUUCUACGCUUGGGAUGUUGACGUAAUGGUUUUAAUCGACC
This 737-nucleotide ribosomal RNA is filed under the name uncultured fungus. Its description in RNAcentral is "eukaryotic LSU rRNA". It matches the Rfam family "Eukaryotic large subunit ribosomal RNA", at positions 1 to 649 of the family's 3401-position model. The record is from RNAcentral. Lineage: Eukaryota; Fungi.